AACGAACGCUGGCGGCAUGCCUAACACAUGCAAGUCGAACGAGCCCUUCGGGUCUAUUGGCGCACGGGUGCGUCACGCGUGGGAACCUUCCCUUAGGUUCGGCAUACCUCCCCGAAAGGGGUGCUAAUACCGGAUCAUGUCUUCGGCCCAAAGAUUUAUCGCCUUUGGAUGGGCCCGCGUUGGAUUAGCUAGUUGGUAGGGUAAAAGCCUACCAAGGCGACGAUCCAUAGCUGGUCUGAGAGGAUGAUCAGCCACACUGGGACUGAGACACGGCCCAGACUCCUACGGGAGGCAGCAGGGGGGAAUAUGGGACAAUGGGCGAAAGCCGGAUCCAGCAAGGCCGCGGGAGUGAGGAAGGCCUUAGGGUUGUAAAGCUCUGUUACCCGGGAUGAUAAUGACAGUACCGGGAGAAUAAGCACCGGCUAACUCCGG
This 432-nucleotide ribosomal RNA is filed under the name uncultured bacterium. Its description in RNAcentral is "partial 16S ribosomal RNA". It matches the Rfam family "Bacterial small subunit ribosomal RNA", at positions 29 to 506 of the family's 1533-position model. The record is from RNAcentral.